Molecule: long non-coding RNA, 1074 nt
Filed under: Glycine max (soybean)
Lineage: Eukaryota; Viridiplantae; Streptophyta; Magnoliopsida; Fabales; Fabaceae
Description: long non-coding RNA (GMAX_LNC004285)
Source: RNAcentral
AAAAAAGUAAUCUUUGGAUUGAUUUCACUUCACAGUAUCAUGGUGCACCCUUCACACCUUACCACAAUGUCUUCUUCUCCUUAGCUACAUUGUCAUUGUUCCCCACCCAUCGGGCUUUGUCUACACCACCAUCGUGGCCUGUGAGGAUGUCAAAUCAAGCUUCUCCAACAUCGACCAUGCCAUGCGUGGAGUUGUUGCCGCCUCCAUGAAGCAAAACACCUACCACCACCAAAAGCACUGCCAUUCCCCUCCAAUCACCGAAAGCCAUUGAUGUUGUUGGUGGCAAUGACAUUUGGGGAUCACAGAUCUGCCUAGCACCGAUGGAGGAAGUGUCACCAAACCUUUCAUGACGAUAUUGAAAAACAUCGACUCCAACAUUGAUGAAGAUGACGACAACAGAAAUCGACCCUAACUUUGUUAUUCGACAAGUGAAAGUAUGGUGUGUUGAUUUUAGAACAACUAAAAUUUGGUUUAAUAUUGUCAAUUCUAAUUUAACAUUCUGGGUUACUGUAUAAAGUGAUUUACUAGUUACGUUUUCUUGAAAAUUGACAUUCUGAUUAACAUAUGAUGUAAAUUUACUGACGAGUCUGGUUUCCUGUUGUUACAUUCAGAUCCAAUUCAUUGGAAUGGAGAAGGGAUUUUGGGGAAGAAAGGGAAUAGGGGAGUGGAUGAGGGUUGGUGGGUGAUGACAUUGGUGGGUGGUGACUAGCCACCGGUGACGGUUAAGGAGCUAUAGAGACUGUGGUGCAAAGGGUGAAUUGUUGCCGAAAAUCGUCUCUAACAUGGUGAAAGGUGGUUAGGAAUAGGGUAACGGGGGAGAAGAGUGGUGGUGAUAAGGUUUGAAGGGUGCACCAUAAUACUAUGGAAAUGAGAUCAAUCUAAAGACAAUUAUUUUUUUGUGCUCCAUACACAGCUUACAUAACUUGUGCACCAUAGCCUUAGUCAUACAUUUGUAUAGGCGUUUUGACCUUUGAUGAACUAGAUUUCACACAUUUUCAAGCACUAAACAUGAUUGUACAAAUUUGAAACUUUUACAUUGAAUGUAAUUUCAAUGUGUAUUCAAACACAUCUAUA